Gavialis gangeticus (Gharial) is the source of this 442-nucleotide long non-coding RNA. RefSeq lists it as uncharacterized. The record is from RefSeq and is a predicted model, not a curated record. Lineage: Eukaryota; Metazoa; Chordata; Crocodylia; Gavialidae. The transcript has 2 exons.
AAAUUAAUAGAAAAGUUGGAAUGAUUUCUCUGUCUCUGAUAAAAUGGCUUUUGGCUUUAUUUAUUUAUUUUAUGUGAGGAGGACCCCUAAGAUCCUGUGAUAAGCUCUGAAUGGAUGGUUUCCCAUUGAAGUCGGCAUGGUUUCAUACAAAUGCCAGGUUCUGGCACUGUCGAGCUCAUUGAAAGCUUGGGCUCACUCCCCUUCUGCAUAGGAAGGGACAUACCUUACUACUUGGGCUUUCUUAGGUGAUCAGUGGAAUAGAUUUUUUGGGAGCACUUUGACAAAAUGUUAGUAAAUCGGAGCACAAGAAUCUUUAGUUGUGGAGCUUGGGGAAAAAUUAUAGGUUCUUCCAAUUUUUUGGUUCUGGAGGCUUUGAUUUGGCAAAAUGGUACCAGCACCAUUUGGCAGAAGUAGUAUUUAAUUAGGUGAACUCUUGUGACAC